This 200-nucleotide ribosomal RNA is filed under the name uncultured bacterium. RNAcentral's name for it is "partial 16S ribosomal RNA". It matches the Rfam family "Bacterial small subunit ribosomal RNA", at positions 8 to 200 of the family's 1533-position model. The record is from RNAcentral.
AGAGUUUGAUCCUGGCUCAGGACGAACGCUGGCGGCGUGCUUAACACAUGCAAGUCGAGCGAGAGAAUCUGGUGCUUGCACCAGAGGAUCUAGCGGCGGACGGGUGAGUAACACGUGGGCAACCUGCCCUAAGGAGGGGAAUAACAGGCCGAAAGGUCUGCUAAUACCGCAUAAGACCAUAGCUUCGCAUGGAGCAUUGG